Molecule: non-coding RNA, 1029 nt
Organism: Heterocephalus glaber (naked mole-rat)
Lineage: Eukaryota; Metazoa; Chordata; Mammalia; Rodentia; Bathyergidae
Source: RefSeq, a predicted model, not a curated record
CAAGGUCCCAAGUUCGAUCCCUGGUACCACCCCCCCCCAAAAAAACCCAAAAAACAAACAAAAAACUAUGGUGGGGAAAUGGAUAAAGAUGACAAACUAAGCUUUACAUCUAUGUCCCCUCUAAUCCCACUGAAAAACCCUGGAGACACUGCCUUGAAAGAAAUACUAUAUUUGAAAAAUUCCUGAAGAUAGAGAGAAUAUAGGACAAGAUUGAUGGGAAAAUCUAAGGCAGAGGAAUCCAUUGUCCAAAUGACACAUAAGAGGAAACAACGGUACAGCCUAGGUGAUGAAAUGAAAUGGAUGUCACACCCAGACUUCAGGAGAGCGCCCGGUCUAAAGUGAAGCUGGCUCAGCAAGGGGAGUUGCGAAGUCCUGACUGAGUGGACAAAGAGAAGAAAUCAACAGAUCAAGUAAGCAAAACAAAGAAUUUUGAAUAACACAGGUGCAGGGAUCAAACCUGGAUUCUCACACAUGCUAGACCCCCAGCACUGAAGACUGAGCCCAGUGCCUUUGGUUUUCCCCAUUUUUUUCGUUUGUUUGUGAGUUCACUUGGUCUUCGGCGCUGGGGAUUGAACCUCGAGCAUGUUGGGCUGUUUGUGUUCCUGUUGAAGCAGUGUAUAUGGAAAGUCUUUGGACAGCUUGAAUGAUAGUGUAGGGAAAGUUGGGGACAGGCAGGGAAAGUUAAAGGACCUCAGGGAGAUUUCUGGCAAAUAAAGAGUUAAACCCCUGCUAGGGAGAAUAGCUAAGAAAAACAGAGAGAGCUGAUAAGGCUGUUCUGGCUCACUUCAGACAACACUGAACUCCUCCUCCCUCCACCUCCAGACAGGAACGACACAGUGAAGGUAGAGUUGGGAGCAGAGGUGGCAAUUCACCAAAUCAGAACGACCCUAACCGGCCACAGUGGAAAGCUCCUGGCGAAGAUGUGCGAACGGACCAGUUCAGAUCCCCACCAAGAUUCCGAGACUCACUCUGUGGAAAGCUUGUGGUGAAGGCUCCAAGACUCAGAGAAUCAAGAAGAGUCCGCAGGGA